RNAcentral lists this long non-coding RNA (333 nucleotides) under Mytilus galloprovincialis (Mediterranean mussel). The record is from RNAcentral. Lineage: Eukaryota; Metazoa; Mollusca; Bivalvia; Mytilida; Mytilidae.
GGCAGUUGUUAUCUUGUUCGUUUCUAUGCAUAUUGCAUUGUCCUUUGUUUUUGUUGCACUUCAGUGUUCCAGUAGUUUCUUGUUUUCCUCUUGUGGCUGAUGUGUUUCCCUCGUUUUAGUUUGUGGCCCUGAUUUGUUUUCUCUCAAUCAAUUUGUAACUUUUAAACAGCGGUUCACUACUGUUGCCUUUAUUUCCCUUUUUUGAAUUUACCAAGGAGUUCGGUUUAUCUUGUUUAUACUUUUUGGUCAAUGCUUUCUUCCAAGUUUCCUGAAAAAGAAGCAGGCCCAGCAGGAAACAGUUUAUAUGCAGUGAUUCCAGGUUCAAACUUGAAU